GUGCAACAGUCGCGAAACCUCCGCAAUACACGAAAGUGUGACGGGGCCAUCCCGAGUGCCGUCCGCUGAGGACGGCUUUUCCCCAGUGUACACAGCUGGGGGAAUAAGGAGAGGGCAAGCCUGGUGUCAGCCGCCGCGGUAAUACCAGCUCUCCGAGUGGUGGGGACGCUUAUUGGGCCAAAGCAUCCGUAGCCGGCUGGGCAAGUCCUCCGUUAAAUCCAACGAUUCAAUCGUUGGGCUGCGGGGGAUACUGUCCAGCUUGGGGGCGGGAGAGGCCGACGGUAUUCCCGGGGUAGGGGUGAAAUCCUAUAAUCCCGGGAGGACCACCAGUGGCGAAGGCUGUCGGCUAGAACGCGCCCGACGGUGAGGGAUGAAAGCUGGGGGAGCGAACCGGAUUAGAUACCCGGUAGU
Molecule: ribosomal RNA, 411 nt
Filed under: uncultured microorganism
Description: bacterial SSU rRNA
Rfam family: Archaeal small subunit ribosomal RNA
Source: RNAcentral